GAAGUGCGAAUGCUGACAUGAGUAACGAUAAAGCGGGUGAAAAGCCCGCUCGCCGCAAACCCAAGGUUUCCUGCUCUACGUUAAUCGGAGCAGGGUGAGUCGGUUCCUAAGGCCAGGCUGAGAAGCGUAGCUGAUGGAAAUCAGGUUAAUAUUCCUGAACCGGCGUUGAAUGCGAUGGGGUGACGGAGCAGCCAGAGUGGACCGGGUGUUGGAUGUCCCGGCUUCCGAGCGAUGGGUGCCUGCAGGCAAAUCCGCAGGCGUAUACCCAGGACGAAGGAUCGGGUCUUCUUUUGAAGACGAAGCCACUGGAAGCGCUUCCAGGAAAAACCUCUAAGCUUCAGUUCAACGGCGACCGUACCGUAAACCGACACAGGUGGGUGAGCUGAAUAUGCUCAGGCGCUUGAGAGAACUCGGGAGAAGGAACUCGGCAAAUUGACACCGUAACUUCGGAAGAAGGUGUGCCGUAGUACCGUGAGAGGAGAGACACCUUGAGCGGGAAACGGUCUCAGAGAAUAGGUGGUUGCGACUGUUUAUUAAAAACACAGCACUCUGCAAAGUCGAAAGACGACGUAUAGGGUGUGAUGCCUGCCCGGUGCUGGAAGAUUAAUUGAUGGGGUGAGAGCCCUUGAUCGAAGUCCCAGUAAACGGCGGCCGUAACUAUAACGGUCCUAAGGUAGCGAAAUUCCUUGUCGGGUAAGUUCCGACCUGCACGAAUGGCAUAACGAUGGCCACACUGUCUCCUCCCGAGACUCAGUGAAGUUGAAAUGUUUGUGAUGAUGCAAUCUACCCGCGGCUAGACGGAAAGACCCCAUGAACCUUUACUGCAGCUUUGCAUUGAACUGUGAACCGAUUUGUGUAGGAUAGGUGGGAGGCAGAGAAGAGGCCACGCCAGUGGCCUUGGAGCCGACCUUGAAAUACCACCCUGAUUUGUUUGCGGUUCUAACCACGGACAGUGAUCCUGUCUUGGGACCGUGCAUGGUAGGCAGUUUGACUGGGGCGGUCUCCUCCUAAAGGGUAACGGAGGAGUACGAAGGUACGCUAGGUACGGUCGGAAAUCGUGCUGAUAGUGCAAUGGCAAAAGCGUGCUUGACUGCGAGAGCAACAACUCGAGCAGAUGCGAAAGCAGGUCAUAGUGAUCCGGUGGCUCUGAAUGGAAGGGCCAUCGCUCAACGGAUAAAAGGUACUCUGGGGAUAACAGGCUGAUACCGCCCAAGAGUUCAUAUCGACGGCGGUGUUUGGCACCUCGAUGUCGGCUCAUCUCAUCCUGGGGCUGUAGUCGGUCCCAAGGGUAUGGCUGUUCGCCAUUUAAAGAGGUACGUGAGCUGGGUUUAAAACGUCGUGAGACAGUUUGGUCCCUAUCUGCCGUGGGCGUUGGAAGAUUGACGGGGGCUGCUCCUAGUACGAGAGGACCGGAGUGGACGCACCUCUGGUGUACCGGUUGUCACGCCAGUGGCAUUGCCGGGUAGCUAAGUGCGGAAGAGAUAACCGCUGAAAGCAUCUAAGCGGGAAACUUGCCUGAAGAUGAGUCUUCCCGGAGGUUGAACCUCCCUCAAGAGUCGUCCGAGACCAGGACGUCGAUAGGUCAGGUGUGUAAGCGCUGUAAGGCGUUGAGCUAACUGAUACUAAUUGCUCGUGAGGCUUGAUC
Molecule: ribosomal RNA, 1645 nt
Filed under: human gut metagenome
Description: bacterial LSU rRNA
Rfam family: Bacterial large subunit ribosomal RNA
Source: RNAcentral